Nemania sp. FL0916 is the source of this 135-nucleotide non-coding RNA. Lineage: Eukaryota; Fungi; Ascomycota; Sordariomycetes; Xylariales; Xylariaceae. The record is from the annotation of a GenBank genome assembly.
GCCCGGUUAGCUCAAUCGGUAGAGCGUGAGACUCUUAAUCUCAAGGUUGCGGGUGAGUGGCGAAUUCCUCCCGUUGUAGAGGUGUUGUUCAAUUGAAUACUGAUCUUGUCCUAGGUUCGACCCCCGCAUCGGGCU